CCCUUAGAUGUUCUGGGCCGCACGCGCGCUACACUGAUGCAUUCAACGAGCCUAUCCUUGACCGACAGGUCCGGGUAAUCUUUGAAUCUGCAUCGUGACGGGGAUAGAUUAUUGCAAUUAUUAAUCUUCAACGAGGAAUGCCUAGUAAGCGUGAUUCAUCAAAUCGCGUUGAUUACGUCCCUGCCCUUUGUACACACCGCCCGUCGCUCCUACCGAUUGAGUGUGUUGGUGAGGAGUUCGGAUUGGCUCUUAGUGGUGGUUCGCCACCACCUAGAGCUGAGAAGUUCUCCAAACCGCCCCACUUAGAGGAAGGAGAAGUCGUAACA
RNAcentral lists this ribosomal RNA (326 nucleotides) under uncultured eukaryote. Its description in RNAcentral is "partial 18S ribosomal RNA". It matches the Rfam family "Eukaryotic small subunit ribosomal RNA", at positions 1470 to 1796 of the family's 1831-position model. The record is from RNAcentral.